GAUCAAGCUAAUAUGGGCGCAUGGCGGAUGCCAUGGCACCAGGAGCCUAAGAAGGACGCGAUAAGCUGCGAAAAGCUACGGGUAGCCGCACAUAGGCGGAGAUCCGUAGAUAUCCGAAUGGGGGAACCCACUUGAGAAACCUCAAGUAUCGUGCACUGAAUAAAUAGGUGUACGAAGGCAGACCCAGGGAACUGAAACAUCUAAGUACCUGGAGGAAGAGAAAGAAUCAUCGAUUUUCUAAGUAGCGGCGAGCGAAAGGGAAAGAGCCCAAACCACACCUUUUAGGUGUUGGGUUGUGGACAGCUCAUCACGAAGAGGUAUUCUAAAUGAACAGGACUGGAAAGUCCGGCCAUAGAAGGUAAUAGCCCUGUAAUUGAAAGAAGGAAACUCCAGAGCUGCUCCAGAGUACCACGGGACACGAGAAACCCCGUGGGAAGCAGGGAGGACCACCUCCCAAGGCUAAAUACUACCUGGUGACCGAUAGCGAAUAGUACCGUGAGGGAAAGGUGAAAAGAACCCCGGGAGGGGAGUGAAAUAGAACCUGAAACCGUGUGCUUACAAACAGUCGGAGGGCGUUAAAGCCUGACGGCGUGCUUUUUGUAGAACGAGCCAGCGAGUUACGGU
This 624-nucleotide ribosomal RNA is filed under the name Bacillota bacterium. RNAcentral's name for it is "partial 23S ribosomal RNA". It matches the Rfam family "Bacterial large subunit ribosomal RNA", at positions 1 to 634 of the family's 2925-position model. The record is from RNAcentral. Lineage: Bacteria; Bacillati; Bacillota.